This 301-nucleotide ribosomal RNA is filed under the name uncultured bacterium. Its description in RNAcentral is "partial 16S ribosomal RNA". It matches the Rfam family "Bacterial small subunit ribosomal RNA", at positions 509 to 807 of the family's 1533-position model. The record is from RNAcentral.
CAGCCGCCACGGUAAUACAGAGGGUGCGAGCGUUAAUCGGAUUUACUGGGCGUAAAGCGUGCGUAGGCGGCUAAUUGAGUCGGAUGUGAAAUCCCCGAGCUUAACUUGGGAAUUGCAUUCGAUACUGGUUAGCUAGAGUGUGGGAGAGGAUGGUAGAAUUCAAGGUGUAGCGGUGAAAUGCGUAGAGAUCUGGAGGAAUACCGAUGGCGAAGGCAGCCAUCUGGCCUAACACUGACGCUGAGGUACGAAAGCAUGGGGAGCAAACAGGAUUAGAUACCCGUGUAGUCCCUGUCUCUUAUAC